RNAcentral lists this ribosomal RNA (775 nucleotides) under Bjerkandera adusta. Its description in RNAcentral is "eukaryotic LSU rRNA". It matches the Rfam family "Eukaryotic large subunit ribosomal RNA", at positions 1 to 768 of the family's 3401-position model. The record is from RNAcentral. Lineage: Eukaryota; Fungi; Basidiomycota; Agaricomycetes; Polyporales; Phanerochaetaceae.
CAAAUCAGGUAGGACUACCCGCUGAACUUAAGCAUAUCAAUAAGCGGAGGAAAAGAAACUAACAAGGAUUCCCCUAGUAACUGCGAGUGAAGCGGGAAAAGCUCAAAUUUAAAAUCUGGCGGUCUUCGGCCGUCCGAGUUGUAAUCUGGAGAAGCGUUUUCCGCGCCGGACCGUGUACAAGUCUCUUGGAACAGAGCGUCAUAGAGGGUGAGAAUCCCGUCUUUGACACGGACUACCGGUGCUAUGUGAUGCGCUCUCGAUGAGUCGAGUUGUUUGGGAAUGCAGCUCAAAAUGGGUGGUAAAUUCCAUCUAAAGCUAAAUAUUGGCGAGAGACCGAUAGCGAACAAGUACCGUGAGGGAAAGAUGAAAAGCACUUUGGAAAGAGAGUUAAACAGUACGUGAAAUUGCUGAAAGGGAAACGAUUGAAGUCAGUCGCGUGUGCUAGAACUCAGCCUUGCUUUUGCUUGGUGCAUUUUCUAGUGUACGGGCCAGCAUCAGUUUUGGCCGCCGGAAAAAGGCCUUGGGAAUGUGGCACCUUCGGGUGUGUUAUAGCCCUUGGUUGUAUACGGUGGCUGGGACUGAGGAACAUAGCAUGCCUUUACGGCGGGGCUUCGGCCACCUUCAUGCUUUGGAUGCUGGCGUAAUGGCUUUAAACGACCCGUCUUGAAACACGGACCAAGGAGUCUAACAUGCCUGCGAGUGUUUGGGUGGAAAACCCGAGCGCGUAAUGAAAGUGAAAGUUGGGACCUCUGUCGUGGAAGGCAUCGACGCCCGG